CUACGGGGCGCACCAGUGGGGAAUAUUGCACAAUGGGCGAAAGCCUGAUGCAGCAACGCCGCGUGAGGGACGACGGCCUUCGGGUUGUAAACCUCUUUUAGCAGGGAAGAAGCGAAAGUGACGGUACCUGCAGAAAAAGCACCGGCUAACUACGUGCCAGCAGCCGCGGUAAUACGUAGGGUGCAAGCGUUGUCCGGAAUUAUUGGGCGUAAAGAGCUCGUAGGCGGUUUUGUCGCGUCUGCUGUGAAAAUCCGAGGCUCAACCUCGGACCUGCAGUGGGUACGGGCAAACUAGAGUGCGGUAGGGGAGAUUGGAAUUCCUGGUGUAGCGGUGGAAUGCGCAGAUAUCAGGAGGAACACCAAUGGCGAAGGCAGAUCUCUGGGCCGUAACUGACGCUGAGGAGCGAAAGCGUGGGGAGCGAACAGGAUUAGAUACCCUAGUAGUC
This 445-nucleotide ribosomal RNA is filed under the name uncultured bacterium. RNAcentral's name for it is "partial 16S ribosomal RNA". It matches the Rfam family "Bacterial small subunit ribosomal RNA", at positions 339 to 795 of the family's 1533-position model. The record is from RNAcentral.